Long non-coding RNA from Pogonomyrmex barbatus (red harvester ant), 553 nucleotides. RefSeq lists it as uncharacterized. The record is from RefSeq and is a predicted model, not a curated record. Lineage: Eukaryota; Metazoa; Arthropoda; Insecta; Hymenoptera; Formicidae.
GAAAAUCGUACCGCUUAAAUAGAACAAAUUUUGCGUUGGCAUCGGAGGUUAUGAGAACUGAAGUAGUUACGAGCAGCGCGGUACGCUUCGUCAGAAGAGGGGAGCGUCCGUUCGGCACGAACAAUACGCCCCACAAAGCGGACAGCGGCACUUUAGUCAGGAACGAAACGGUUUACAGACGACGCGCGAACGCCGUUAUCGCAACGCUCCCUCGUAUCGUCGUAUUCGCGAAUUAAAGAAACCGCGCGAACUGACCUCGGCGUCAUCGACGGAGGUCUGCGUAUCGAGUGUAGAACUGGCACUUAGGCCCCGAGUUCCUAUCCCGAAGAUGGCCGAGUCCGCACGAAGCGUGGAAAAAUGCGAGCAGAAACUGCGCUUAUGACGUCCUGAUUCGCUGCGUAAUACAAUCUUAUUUUUAACCGGCACACGAAUCAACCGGUUUCGAAGUACAUCUCAAACGUUCGAAGAAUAUCCUGAACAUCUUAAAAAAUCAAUUGAGAUUAAGAUGUACGCGAGUUUAAUAUGCGAAUAAAGGGAACCGAUUAUCUACAUU